Long non-coding RNA from Eriocheir sinensis (Chinese mitten crab), 1499 nucleotides. RefSeq lists it as uncharacterized. The transcript is spliced from 2 exons. NCBI's taxonomy places the organism in Eukaryota, Metazoa, Arthropoda, Malacostraca, Decapoda, Varunidae. The record is from RefSeq and is a predicted model, not a curated record.
CUCCGUCAACAACCAUCCUCAUUUCUAUCAUUAAAACUAACUAUAUUACCCCAUUGUUUCCAGACUUAUGAAUCACCCUGUACGGAGAAUAAACGACGUCCUUAUACGGCUAACUGGACGCAAUAUAAACAUCACUAAGUCGAUCGGUUUUUCUCAAAAAUACAAAAUAAUGGAUUGUACGUAACUUUCCUUAAGGGGACAUCUCUCUGAAUUGUGUAUAUGGGUGAUAGAAUUGAAUAGCCUAAGAAGUUGAGCUGUUUUCCUUUUAUCUAACUAUUUCUGGAUUCUUCUCCUUUUCCGGACAACACUAAGUUCUCAAAAAUACAAAAUAAUGGAUUGUACGUAACUUUCCUUAAGGGGACAUCUCUCGGAAUUGUGAAUAUGGGUGAUAGAAUUGAAUAGCCUAAGUUAAUUCAGCUGUUUUCCUUUUAUCUAACUAUUUCUGUAUUCUUUUCCUUUUCCGGACAACACUAAGUUCUCAAAAAUACAAAAUAAUGGAUUGUACGUAACUUUCCUUAAGGGGACAUCUCUCAGAAUUGUGUAUGGGUGAUGGAAUUGAAUAGCCUAAGAAGUUGAGCUGUUUUCCUUUUAUCUAACUAUUUCUGGAUUCUUCUCCUUUUCCGGACAACACUAAGUUCUCAAAAAUACAAAAUAAUGGAUUGUACGUAACUUUCCUUAAGGGGACAUCUCUCUGAAUUGUGUAUAUGGGUGAUAAAAUUGAAUAGCCUAAGUUAAUUCAGCUGUUUUCCUUUUAUCUAACUAUUUCUGCAUUCUUCUCCUUUUCCGGACAACACUAAAUCCUCGAAAAUACAAAAUAAUGGAUUGUACGUAACUUUCCUUAAGGGGACAUCUCUCGGAAUUGUGUAUAUGGGUGAUAAAAUUGAAUAGCCUAAGUUAAUUCAGCUGUUUUCCUUUAAUCGAACUAUUUCUGGAUUCUUCUCCUUUUCCGGACAACACUAAGUUCUCAAAAAAUACAAAAUAAUGGAUUGUACGUAACUUUCCUUAAGGGGACAUCCUCUCGGAAUUGUGUAUAUGAGUGAUAAAAUUGAAUAGCCUAAGUUAAUUCAGCUGUUUUUCUUUAAUCGAACUAUUUCUGGAUUCUUCUCCUUUUCCGAACACUAAGUCCUCGAAAAUACAAAAUACUGGAUUGUACGUAACUUUCCUUAAGGGGACAUCUCUCUGAAUUGUGUAUAUGAGUGAUAGAAUUGAAUAGCAUAAGUUAAUUCAGCCGUUUCCCUUUUAUCUAACUAUUUCUGGAUUCUUCUCCUUUUCCGGACAACACCAAAUCCUCGAAAAUACAAAAUAAUAGAUCGUACGUAAUCUUCCUUAAGGGGACAUCUCUCGGAAUUCUGUAUGGGUGACAGAAUUGAAUAGCAUAAGUUAAUUCAGCCGUUUCCCUUUUAUCUAACUAUUUCUGGAUUCUUCUCCUUUUCCGGACAACACUAAAUCCUCGAAAAUACAAAAUAGUAGAUCGUACGUAAUUUUCCUUAAGGGGACAU